GACGAACGCUGGCGGCGUGCUUAACACAUGCAAGUCGAACGGAAAGGCCCUGCUUUUGUGGGUUGCUCGAGUGGCGAACGGGUGAGUAACACGUGAGUAACCUGCCCUUGACUUUGGGAUAACUUCAGGAAACUGGGGCUAAUACCGGAUAGGAUCUCCUGCUGCAUGGUGGGGGUUGGAAAGUUUCGGCGGUUGGGGAUGGACUCGCGGCUUAUCAGCUUGUUGGUGGGGUAGUGGCUUACCAAGGCUUUGACGGGUAGCCGGCCUGAGAGGGUGACCGGCCACAAUGGGACUGAGAGACGGACCAGAAGGCUAAGGGAGGCAGAAGUGGGGAAUAUGGCACAAUGGGCGGAAGCCUGAUGCAGCAACGCCGCGUGCGGGAUGACGGCCUUCGGGUUGUAAACCGAUUUCGAAGGUGACGAAGAGUGAGUGACGGUAAUGGGUAAAGAAGCACCGGCUAACUACGUG
RNAcentral lists this ribosomal RNA (468 nucleotides) under uncultured bacterium. RNAcentral describes it as "partial 16S ribosomal RNA". It matches the Rfam family "Bacterial small subunit ribosomal RNA", at positions 28 to 507 of the family's 1533-position model. The record is from RNAcentral.